CUCAACUGUGUGCAUGACUCUCUGCCUUAGUUUCGCCCUUUAUCUCUGCAGAAUCUAGUCAUAGAAUGUAUUUUGUAUCUUUUCUGUGCUCCUCUUAAUUGAAUGAGCAAAAUCGUACUGGAUCUGUAAGUUUGUGAGCUUAGGGAAACGAGUUGAACCAGAUCAGCUACGCUAGUGGUCGAACUUCUGCUAACUCACCUUCACUCUCUGGCAGAUAUUAUGUCUAAAUUUCUGUAGUGGUCGAACUUCUGCUAACUCACCUUCACUCUCUGGCAGGUAUUACUUCUAAAUUUCUGUCUGUAUGUUGUUUUGUCCUUUUACGGCUGCUUAUUUACCUAUUGAUCAGUGUUUGCUUUCUAGAGCAUGUUGUUGGUUUAGACGAAAAUUUUUGGUUUAAAUUCUGUGAAAAUCAUGCUAGCUAUCUGCUAAGUUCUGAAGGAUAU
This 443-nucleotide long non-coding RNA is filed under the name Nicotiana benthamiana. RNAcentral's name for it is "long non-coding RNA (NBEN_LNC031915)". Lineage: Eukaryota; Viridiplantae; Streptophyta; Magnoliopsida; Solanales; Solanaceae. The record is from RNAcentral.